Molecule: ribosomal RNA, 329 nt
Filed under: uncultured bacterium
Lineage: Bacteria
Description: bacterial SSU rRNA
Rfam family: Bacterial small subunit ribosomal RNA
Source: RNAcentral
GACGAACGCUGACGGUGUGCUUUAGACAUGCAAGUCGAACGCGAAAGCCCUUCGGGGUUAGUAGAGUGGCGAACGGGUGAGUAACACGUGGGCAAUCUGCCCCUCGCAGGGGGACAACCGGAGGAAACUCCGGCUAAUACCCCGUACGCUUGCCGGACCGCAUGGUCCGGCAAGGAAAGGGUAGCUUCGGCCAUCCGGCGAGGGAUGAGGCCCCGCGGUGCAUUAGCUAGUUGGUGAGGUAACGCUCACCAAGGCAACGAUGCAUAGCUGGUCUGAGAGGAUGAUCAGCCACACUGGGACUGAGACACGGCCCAGACUCCUACGGGAGC